This 253-nucleotide ribosomal RNA is filed under the name uncultured bacterium. Its description in RNAcentral is "partial 16S ribosomal RNA". It matches the Rfam family "Bacterial small subunit ribosomal RNA", at positions 524 to 776 of the family's 1533-position model. The record is from RNAcentral.
GACAGAGGGGGCAAGCGUUGCUCGGAAUUACUGGGCGUAAAGGGCGCGUAGGCGGGAUGGCAAGUCGGUCGUGAAAUCCCUCGGCUCAACUGAGGAGCGUCGAUCGAAACUGCCGUUCUUGAGGGUUGCAGAGGAGACUGGAAUUCCCGGUGUAGCGGUGAAAUGUGUAGAGAUGUGGAGGAACACCAGUGGCGAAGGCGGCUUUUUGGUCUGUAACUGACGCUGAGGCGCGAAAGCGUGGGGAGCAAACAGG